UCGCCAGACUCCUACGGGAGGCAGCAGUGGGGAAUAUUGGGCAAUGGGCGCAAGCCUGACCCAGCAACGCCGCGUGAAGGAUGAAGGUUUUCGGAUUGUAAACUUCUGUCGCGAGGGACGAAGAAUGACGGUACCUCGUAAGAAAGCCCCGGCUAACUACGUGCCAGCAGCCGCGGUAAUACGUAGGGGGCAAGCGUUAUCCGGAUUCACUGGGUGUAAAGGGAGCGUAGACGGCGACGCAAGUCUGGAGUGAAAGCCCGGGGCCCAACCCCGGGACUGCUCUGGAAACUGCGGCGCUGGAGUACGGGAGGGGCAGGCGGAAUUCCUGGUGUAGCGGUGAAAUGCGUAGAUAUCAGGAGGAACACCAGUGGCGAAGGCGGCCUACUGGACGGUGACUGACGCUGAGGCUCGAAAGCGUGGGGAGCAAACAGGAUUAGAUACCCCAGUA
RNAcentral lists this ribosomal RNA (448 nucleotides) under uncultured bacterium. RNAcentral's name for it is "bacterial SSU rRNA". It matches the Rfam family "Bacterial small subunit ribosomal RNA", at positions 328 to 792 of the family's 1533-position model. The record is from RNAcentral.